Schizosaccharomyces pombe (fission yeast) is the source of this 312-nucleotide non-coding RNA. NCBI's taxonomy places the organism in Eukaryota, Fungi, Ascomycota, Schizosaccharomycetes, Schizosaccharomycetales, Schizosaccharomycetaceae. The record is from the annotation of a GenBank genome assembly.
UUAAAUUCAUAAUUUUCUAAAUACAUUGAUAUAUUUAACUUAAGGAGUGAAUAAUGAUGAUACGUAUAACUCAAAGUGCCAGUUUCCUUUGCAAUGUCAUUACUGCCAAAGGAAAAAAUGAGCAAAGUUUGCUUAAGUCAUAAAGUAUAUAUAAUGCUUAAAAUUAUCUGGCCAUUCAAAUUUUGACUUGUUCUCCUUUGAAGAUAGAUUUAUGUCGAUACUCUUUGAUACAUACUUGAAUAUCUGAUCAUGGACAUAAACAGAUGGCAACGAAAGAGCUCUUAAUUAUUUUUUUAUUUUUUGGGAGAAUAG